This 357-nucleotide unclassified non-coding RNA is filed under the name soil metagenome. Its description in RNAcentral is "partial contains 5.8S ribosomal RNA, internal transcribed spacer 2, and large subunit ribosomal RNA". The stretch from base 1 to 120 matches the Rfam family "5.8S ribosomal RNA", at positions 35 to 154 of the family's 154-position model. The record is from RNAcentral.
GAUGAAGAACGUAGCGAAAUGCGAUAAGUAAUGUGAAUUGCAGAAUUCAGUGAAUCAUCGAAUCUUUGAACGCACAUUGCGCCCGCCGGCACUCCGGCGGGCAUGCCUGUCCGAGCGUCAUUUCAACCCUCAGGCCCGAACCCCCCCGGGGGGGGCGGGCCUGGUGUUGGGGCUCGGGGUCCGCGAGGCCCCCGUCCCCUAAAUCCAGUGGCGGUCGCGCCGCACCCUCCCCUGCGUAGUAGCACACCUCGCACCGGAGAGCAGCGCGUCCACGCCGGGAAACCCCCAACUUACCAAGGUUGACCUCGGAUCAGGUAGGAAUACCCGCUGAACUUAAGCAUAUCAAUAAGCGGAGGA